GAAUGUGUGAGGGUGAUCUGGCUGCAAUGUUUGUCAGCCCAUUGAUCGCCAGCGUUGAUUUGGCUGAUCUGGCUGGUUAGGCAGGUAUCCCCUUCCUUCCUCACCGCUUCCUGUGCUUCCCUCCUGAAGCUGCGUGCUCUGUCUUCCCUGAAUAAAGGAGGACCUGUCUUGGGUCAAGGGUAUAGGAAUAGUUAUGUUCCUUGAUCAGAACCUCCAAACAAGCACAGACAACACCUAUUCUUAAAAGAUUUGUAAGUUCAGUGGAAGUCAUGCUGCCCAACAAAUACUGGACAAUACUAGAAAAUUUGUUG
RNAcentral lists this small nuclear RNA (311 nucleotides) under Meriones unguiculatus (Mongolian gerbil). Its description in RNAcentral is "7SK RNA (ENSMUGG00000010569.1)". It matches the Rfam family "7SK RNA". Rfam says of the family: 7SK was discovered as an abundant small nuclear RNA in the mid-70s but a possible function has only recently been suggested. Two independent studies have found that 7SK RNA binds the CDK9/cyclin T complex (known as elongation factor P-TEFb). Lineage: Eukaryota; Metazoa; Chordata; Mammalia; Rodentia; Muridae. The record is from RNAcentral.